GUGUAGCUCAGCUGGCUAGAGCGUACGGUUCAUACCCGUGAGGUCGGGGGUUCGAUCCCCUCCAC
RNAcentral lists this transfer RNA (65 nucleotides) under Staphylococcus aureus. RNAcentral describes it as "tRNA-Met". It matches the Rfam family "tRNA", at positions 5 to 66 of the family's 71-position model. Rfam says of the family: Transfer RNA (tRNA) molecules are approximately 80 nucleotides in length. Lineage: Bacteria; Bacillati; Bacillota; Bacilli; Caryophanales; Staphylococcaceae. The record is from RNAcentral. RNAcentral also lists the same sequence under 1 other name.